Molecule: ribosomal RNA, 422 nt
Filed under: uncultured bacterium
Lineage: Bacteria
Description: bacterial SSU rRNA
Rfam family: Bacterial small subunit ribosomal RNA
Source: RNAcentral
UGAGGAAUAUUGGGCAAUGCCCGAAAGGGUGACCCAGCAACGCCGCGUGGAGGAUGAAGGUCGUAAGAUUGUAAACUCCUGUUAGAGGGGAAGAAUAACUAAGUUUGGAGCUUAGUAUGACUGUACCCUCAGAGAAAGCCCCGGCUAACUACGUGCCAGCAGCCGCGGUAAUACGUAGGGGGCAAGCGUUGUGCGGAUUUACUGGGUGUAAAGGGCGCGCAGGCGGAAUGGAAAGUCAGUGGUGAAAUCCUACAGCUUAACUGUAGAACUGCCUUUGAUACUUUCAUUCUUGAGUUCGGGAGAGAGAGACGGAAUUCCAGGUGUAGUGGUGAAAUACGUAGAUAUCUGUAAGAACACCAGUUGCGAAGGCGGUCUCUUGGUCCGAUACUGACGCUGAGGCGCGAAAGCGUGGGGAGCAAACA